This 369-nucleotide ribosomal RNA is filed under the name Meteusarcoides mutilatus. RNAcentral describes it as "partial large subunit ribosomal RNA". The stretch from base 97 to 369 matches the Rfam family "Bacterial large subunit ribosomal RNA", at positions 2078 to 2633 of the family's 2925-position model. Lineage: Eukaryota; Metazoa; Arthropoda; Arachnida; Opiliones; Gonyleptidae. The record is from RNAcentral.
GGAAGCUGGAAUGAAGGGUAGAAACCAUAGGGGAUUGUUUUAUUUAAUUAUAUUUUGAAUUUAAAUUAAAAGUAAAAAUGCUUUUAUUAAAUUUUGGGACGAGAAGACCCUAGAAGCUUUAGAUUUUUUUAAAUUUUUAGUUGGGGCAACUUGUAAAGAAAAAAUAUUUUUAUAAUUUAUUGUUGAAUUUUUGUAGGAGUUACUCUAGGGAUAACAGCGUAAUUUAGUUAGCAAGUUCUUAUUAAAAAUUAAGUUUGCGACCUCGAUGUUGAAUUAAUUUAAAUUUUUGACGGAAAAGUUUAAGGAUUUAGUCUGUUCGACUAUAAAAAAAUUACAUGAUUUGAGUUCAAACCGGUUUAAUCCAGGUCG